Non-coding RNA from Micropterus dolomieu (smallmouth bass), 1635 nucleotides. The record is from the annotation of a RefSeq genome assembly. NCBI's taxonomy places the organism in Eukaryota, Metazoa, Chordata, Actinopteri, Centrarchiformes, Centrarchidae.
AAAGUGAAUCAAGGUUUCUCCAGCAGCUUCAAGUCAAACCCCACUGGCAAUAUUUUUGUGGACCCAUCAGUGGAGCUCCUUCAGGUCCCCAAUAAAGAGUCAGGACCACAGAGGAUCUUGUGCUCUGGAUGGGGCUUCAACCCUCAAAUUAAAUGGUUUCCUGAGUCUCAGCAAGCAUCUCCAUCAACGAAUGACAUCAGCAUGAGUGCAGAUGGACGUGUGGCAGUAACCAGUCAACUUCACAUCCCUCAGACAGAGUGGAAAACAGGGAAGGUCUUCACUUGUUUAGUGUCUGACAAGUCUCUGAGUAAAACAGUUGAAAAGAACAUCAGCAUCUGUUCAGCUCAUUCAAGCGCCCCUCCUUCAGUUCAUGUGGAGGUUCCCAGCUUCAAGACAGUAAUGGAGUCAACGUCUGAUGUGAAGGCAACGUGUUCAGUCCGCACAGUGUUUGAAGCAACGGUGACCUGGCUGAUGGAUGGGCAACCCCCAUCCAGUAACCAAGUGAACCAGGUCACAAAUACAACUCAUUUAAUAAGCACUCUGACGGUUUCCUCGAGUCGGUGGAAACAACUGAAGCUUCUGAAAUGUAAAGUUGAACAUCAUUGCUUCUCAUCCUCUGAGGAGACAAUAAAUGUUGCAGCGCCUGCAGUUACAGCUCCAUCAGUGGAGAUCAGGAGAUCUCUCCCAGAUUUGCUGAAGGGAAACAUUGCUGUGCUGGAGUGUGACGUCACACAACUCUCCUCCAUUGACCUCUACAUCACCUUUCAGGCCAACAGUGUUGACAUCUCUGACAAACAGUAUGUUGAUCUUCCUGAAGCCCCAGGCCUCCAUUCAGUCAUUAGACGCUUCACUGUCCCUCCAAACUACUGGAAGAGAGAAACAAGUUUCACCUGCAAAGUGAAUCAAGGUUUCUCCAGCAGCUUCAAGUCAAACCCCACUGGCAAUAUUUUUGUGGACCCAUCAGUGGAGCUCCUUCAGGUCCCCAGUAAAGAGUCAGGACCACAGAGGAUCUUGUGCUCUGGAUGGGGCUUCAACCCUCAAAUUAAAUGGUUUCCUGAGUCUCAGCAAGCAUCUCCAUCAACGAAUGACAUCAGCAUGAGUGCAGAUGGACGUGUGGCAGUAACCAGUCAACUUCACAUCCCUCAGACAGAGUGGAAAACAGGGAAGGUCUUCACUUGUUUAGUGUCUGACAAGUCUCUGAGUAAAACAGUUGAAAAGAACAUCAGCAUCUGUUCAGUAACUCCAGCAUCAUCUCAGAUAGUUGCUGUAUAUGUUCAGGGACCACCCCUCCAGGAUCUUCAGAGAAAGGGACAGGUGACUCUCACCUGUCUUCUGGUUGGCCCUUCUCUUGAUGAUUUCUCCAUCACCUGGAAAGUAGGUGGGAACAAAUAUUCUCUUAAUGUCCAUACGGAGCCACCAGUGAGUCACAGCAAUGGGACGGAGUCUUUGCGGAGCUUCCUCAAAGUGUCAGCGGAGGAUUGGCAUGCAUAUAAACAAGUGUCUUGUGAGGGGAAGCACCGAUGUUCCAACCAGGGCUACCAGGACCAUAUAAGCAAAAGCAGAGGUAGUGUGAAACAUCAGAAGCUCAGCAGUAAAAAGAAAAAUCUCCAUAAUGCUUGUGCUGGUUGUGACUAA